AGCGCGGUUGGAGUGUACAAAAUAGAGGUGGACUGCCGGGCUGCCGAGGGAACCUCGUGCAUACACCCCUCACCUUCGGCCUCCUGACCUGCCUGUUGUAGGAAACACAACAGCUUUGGGGAGCUUCAUGAUUUGCUAGGCAAACUUGGAGAAAAACAUGAAAGGCUUAAUUAAAGGUUUGUUGCCAGCUUGAGCCAGACUUGAGUGGACUGGAAUGAUUCCUAUGGUGGGAAAUGAUUGAUCAGGAGCCAUGGGUGCCACUAGAUAAUAAGUUUUGAUAUCUUCCCUUGGCUUGGUUCAUGUUUCACCCUGACAUCUCUAACAGCCCAAAGAACUACCACUUAAGAUCAGAAUGGUGGAACACUGGGAAUCCAUUUCUUUUUAGGAGGUUUUUCAUCUGAAAGGAAAAAACUGUCCCUUUGUUUUCCUGAGAAUUUGCCUGGUCCUACUAUGGUUAUUUUACUCUUGGUUUGAUAUUUAUCCAGUGUUGAAAAGCCUGAUUCUGUUUCUUUGAAGGAUCAAGAAUUACUAGACCUUAGUAAAAUUUUCGGCUUUGUGUCCUAUGUAUCUGAAGAAAGAAAAUAAAAUCUUUAAAUCAAAAUGUUCUUGUGUUUGGUCUGCACAUUGGUAAUAAGGAAUGAGCAGGGAUGGCACCAGCUGUCUACAACAUUCAUUUGCUAAUUACUCGUCCCAGGUUUUUGUGUGUGGAAGAUCAGUCUAGGGGGAAAUUUGUUCCUUUGCAGGGCUUGCAUUCCACAUGUAUUCAUGCUCAUAGAUUGGAUUUUGUAUUGGAAAUUACAGAAUCAGAUGCUCCCACUACACUGUCAGUGACAGAUCUACUCAGGUGACUGAGUAGGAGUUCAGUAGGUUUGGGUAAAUAAAAAGGGGCUGGCAGAGGCAACUGAGAAGGAGCAGGCAUGCCCCGUAGAAAGUGUUAGGGUGUGGAGUGAAUGAAGGGAACUCUUACCUAGAACGCAGACACUUCAGCAGAAUGCAGGCUGCUCACUGCGUUCUGUCAGUCUCAAGGGAAGGAAGGCCAAAAUGAAAUCGAUGUACUUGGAAGUGUGAUGGGAGUUUCAUUCAGGGCUUAAGGCACCUAGCAAAAUUACUGACUUUAACCAUUACAUUGCAUGAUUGUAUUUUUGGAACUAUGAACCUCCUCCCCUGAACCCUAGGCUGAUAUGUUGAUUCACUGCAGUAUAAAUUGACCAGUUCUUCCCUCAAUUUUUCUGUAAACUCAAAAGGCAGGGUAGCAAAUUCAUUUUCCCCAACUAUGGAGCUGUGCAGUCGAACGGUUAGGACUGGUAUUGUGGUUCCUAUUUCCCCACUGAGGAUCAGUUUCCUCAGCUGACAACUAGAAAUGGAGGAUUAAAAAGCAUGCAUUUUAGCCUGCUAUCUGGCACAGCCGGAAUAGAAGAUAGGACUGUUAAGAGCUAAAUUUAACUUGUAGAUAAUGGGUACCGACUUCCUGUUGUAUAUUCUAGUAUGUCAGGGUUUCAUCAGACAAUAAGUGGCUUGCAAAAUUAGGAUAAUAGUGUGAAAAGCUGGGGUGGUCCACGUAUGUGUAAACCUCAAGGGAUGUUUAAAUAAUCUAGAUCUAGUAGAGGCAGCACCUCAAGGCUGGAAAUGGUAAAGAGGAACAGUUUCUGGAAUUCGGAGACCUAGCUGGUGAGGGGAAACGGCAAGCCUGCUGUACCCUUCUAGACUAGGUGAAUAAAUUGCCUGUCACUUCGAGCUGGACCAAAGCCUCCCCUCCUACCUCCCUCCCUCUUUGGCUUGCUACCAUGUUGGAGAGACCCAUGUGGCCAUGACCUGAGGGUGGCCUCUAGUUAACAGCCAGCAAAGAGCUAAGUCUUCAAUCCAGCAGACUGUCAGGACUCAGAUCCUGCCACCAACCGCAGGAGUGAGCCUGGAAGCAGAUGCUUUCCCGGUCGAGCCUUGCGAUGAUUACAACCCUGACUGGUACCUUGACUGCAGUUUCUGAGAAUCCUGGAAGCAGAGGACCAGCGUUAUCAUUUGAGAUGAUGUUUUUAAAGCCACUAAGUUUUGAGGCCUUAUAGAGAAUGCCGUGGAAGUCAUGAGAAGUUAGAAGCUGGAAGAGAAAGGAGAGACCAUCAUCAUGUGAUGGAAAAGCCACAGAACCUCAAGGAUCGCUGGCAGCCAGCCUCAGAACACCAGUCUGGAGAGAAAGCAUUGCCUCAUUGAUACUUCAAUUUUGGACUUAAAUCCUCAAAACCACGAGCCAAUAAAUCCCCAUUGUUUAAACCAACCCAUUGUAUGGUAUUUAUUUUAGCAGCUGGGAAACUGAAACAAGGUGAUAAGUGCAAUGGAGAAAACUGAAGUUGAGAAAGGGGAUAGGGACUGUGGAAGCAGUUGGAAACUGUAAAGGUGAUAAUUUGUGUGCAGAGUUGAAGGAGGAGAUCAGGGAGUUAUCACCAGGGUAAAGCAUCACAGACAAGUGAAAAGCCUUGAAGCAAAAACAUGCCUGUUGUGUUCAGGGGGUAGAAAGGAGACCAGUGUUGCUGAAGCCCAGAGGAGUUGAAGUAAGGGAUAGUAGGAAGCUAGUCACACACGGCCUUGAGAGGGAUGGGAGCAAUGGGCAAUUUUGAGCAGAGAAAUGAAUAACUUUGAUUUCAACAGAAUUCCUCCUGGUGCCGUGUGGAGAACAGACUAUAGGCAAAGAGGGAAGCAGGAAGAUAAGUAGGAGAACUUUUGUAAGAAUUAAGUGCUAUGCAGUCAAGAGUUCACACAGCAGGCUUGUGUUGCCCAAACCCUGCACAUUCCAAAAGUCUGG
This is a long non-coding RNA of Choloepus didactylus (southern two-toed sloth), 2794 nucleotides long. RefSeq lists it as uncharacterized. The transcript has 5 exons. The record is from RefSeq and is a predicted model, not a curated record. NCBI's taxonomy places the organism in Eukaryota, Metazoa, Chordata, Mammalia, Pilosa, Megalonychidae.